Non-coding RNA from Gossypium hirsutum (cotton), 141 nucleotides. Lineage: Eukaryota; Viridiplantae; Streptophyta; Magnoliopsida; Malvales; Malvaceae. The record is from Rfam.
AAGAUAAGAGGCAGUCAGGAUAGCCAAAGGAGACUGCCUACAAACCAGUAAAAGGAUUAUUAUAUGUAUAUAUAAAUAUAACAUUCCUCUAGUUUGGGUUUAGGCAAGUCAUCCUUGGCUACCAAACAAGACUCUUAAUCU